This is a long non-coding RNA of Chenopodium quinoa (quinoa), 462 nucleotides long. RefSeq lists it as uncharacterized. The transcript has 2 exons. NCBI's taxonomy places the organism in Eukaryota, Viridiplantae, Streptophyta, Magnoliopsida, Caryophyllales, Amaranthaceae. The record is from RefSeq and is a predicted model, not a curated record.
AUCUUUCCUACUCUCUCGUCUCACCACCACCCCCGCCAUCGACUUCUUUCCCCUCUCAGUCUCUCCGACCUCCCUCUAUCCCUCUUCUUUCCCCUCUCGAUCUCUCCGACCUCCCCUCACCACCACCAACGCCACUAACCACCACCGCCACCAAGUCCGAAAUCAACCCUAACUUGUAAAAUUCAAGGUUAUUUUCAGGUAAAAUUCGAGGUAUAAUGAUUUAUAUCUUAAAUUGAAGAAUCAAGAUGCAGGAAUAUUGAUAUAGAUGUUGUAUGGGUUUUUUUUUAUUUUAAUGUUGUAACUUUUAUUUUUUGAUUUAUAUUGAAUUUUUUUUUUAUUUGUAUGUUGUAAUUGUUAGAUUAUAUUGAUUUAUAUUGUAAUUUUGAUGUCCGAAAUUGUGAUCUAUAUCGAGCAAUUAGUAGAUUAGAAAACUGUUCAGUAAUAAAAUUAUGAUGUUGCGUU